RNAcentral lists this long non-coding RNA (1296 nucleotides) under Taeniopygia guttata (zebra finch). Its description in RNAcentral is "lncRNA (ENSTGUG00000027735.1)". The record is from RNAcentral. Lineage: Eukaryota; Metazoa; Chordata; Aves; Passeriformes; Estrildidae.
UACCCUGGAGGGAGCGAAGUCCUCAGGGGCGGAACCGGAGCGGGGCGCUCAGAGAGAUCCCGCCCGGCUCCCCUCAGCCCUCAGCGGUCCUGCCUUCCCUUCCCGCUGCCUUUCAGCGAUCCUGCCUUCCCUUCCCGCUGCCUUUCAGCGAUCCCGGCUCUCUUCUCACCCGGCUCCCCUCAGCCAUUCCGCCUUCCGCCCUCAGCGAUCCUGCCUUCCCUUCCCGCUGCCUUUCAGCGAUCCCGCCUUCCCUUCCCGCUGCCUUUCAGUGAUCCCGGCUCUCUUCUCACCCAGCUCCGCUCUGCAAUUCCGCCUUCAGCCCUCAGCGAUCCCGCCUUCCCUUCCCGCUGCCUUUCAGCGGUCCUGCCUUCCCUUCCCGCUGCCUUUCAGCGAUCCUGCCUUCCCUUCCCGCUGCCUUUCAGCGAUCCUGCCUUCCCUUCCCGCUGCCUUUCAGCGAUCCCGCCUUCCCUUCCCGCUGCCUUUCAGCGAUCCCGGCUCUCUUCUCACCCAGCUCCCCUCAGCCAUUCCGCCUUCAACCCUCAGCGAUCCUGCCUUCCCUUCCCGCUGCCUUUCAGCGAUCCCGGCUCUCUUCUCACCCAGCUCCACUUUGCAAUUUUGCCUUUCGCUCCCGCUCCCCUCAGCGAUCCCGCCUCCCUUCGCGCCCGGCUCUCUUCAGGGAUCCCUUCCCGCCCGGUUUCCCAACCGUUCCCCUCAGCAGUCCCGCCUUCCGCCCUUCCUUCCCAUUCCCUUCAGCAACCCUGCCUUCCUUCUUGUUCCCCUCAGGGAUCCCGCCUCCCUUCGCGCCCGGCUCUCCCCAGCGACCCGGCCUCCCUCAGGGAUCCCUUCCCGCCCGAUUCCCUAACCGUUCCAAUCAGCAAUCCCGCCUUCCGCCCCUUCUUCCCGUUCCUUUCAGCAACCCUGCCUUCCUUCCCGUUUUCCCUAGCAAUCCUCCCUUCCUUCCCGCUCCCCUCAGCGAUCCCGCCUCCCUUCGCGCUCGGAUCUCCUCAGCUACGCGGCCUCCCUUACCGCCUCCCUCAGGGAACCCGCUUUCCCUUCCCACCCGGUUCCCUAACCGUUCCCCUCAGCAAUCCCGCCCUGUCUUCCCAUUCUCCUCAGCCAUACCGCCUUCCUUUCCGUUUCCCUCAGCAAUUCCGCCUUCAGCCAUCCCACCUUCCGCCCUUUCUUCCCGCUCCCCUCAGUGAUCUCGCCUUCCCUUCCUCGCUCCUGCCCGCCUUCCCUUCCCUUCCCUUCCCUUCCCUUCCCUUCCCUUCCCUUCCCUUCCCUUCCCUUCCCUUC